Coccidioides posadasii str. Silveira is the source of this 94-nucleotide small nucleolar RNA. It matches the Rfam family "A. fumigatus snoRNA Afu_335". Lineage: Eukaryota; Fungi; Ascomycota; Eurotiomycetes; Onygenales; Onygenaceae. The record is from Rfam.
UCGAAUGAUGAAUACCCUGAUAGGGACAUCAGAUGCUAUGCACAUGAUGUGAACUUAGGAAAGAGUAUUUUAGUAGAUGCCUCUGUAUCUGAAA